GACGAACGCUGGCGGCGUGCUUAACACAUGCAAGUCGAACGAAGAGCGAUGGAAGCUUGCUUCUAUCAAUCUUAGUGGCGAACGGGUGAGUAACGCGUAAUCAACCUGCCCUUCAGAGGGGGACAACAGUUGGAAACGACUGCUAAUACCGCAUACGAUCUAAUCUCGGCAUCGAGGAUAGAUGAAAGGUGGCCUCUACAUGUAAGCUAUCACUGAAGGAGGGGAUUGCGUCUGAUUAGCUAGUUGGAGGGGUAACGGCCCACCAAGGCGAUGAUCAGUAGCCGGUCUGAGAGGAUGAACGGCCACAUUGGGACGGAGACACGGCCCAGACUCCUACGGGAGGCAGCAGUGGGGAAUCUUCCGCAAUGGACGAAAGUCUGACGGAGCAACGCCGCGUGAGUGAUGACGGCCGUCGGGUUGUAAAGCCCUGUUAAUCGGGACGAAAGGCCUUCUUGCGAAUAGUGAGAAGGAUUGACGGUACCGGAAGAGAAAGCCACGGCUAACUACGUG
This 510-nucleotide ribosomal RNA is filed under the name uncultured bacterium. RNAcentral describes it as "partial 16S ribosomal RNA". It matches the Rfam family "Bacterial small subunit ribosomal RNA", at positions 28 to 507 of the family's 1533-position model. The record is from RNAcentral.